UACAGAGGGUGCGAGCGUUAAUCGGAAUUACUGGGCGUAAAGCGCGCGUAGGCGGCUUUGCAAGUCGGGUGUGAAAUCCCCAGGCUUAACCUGGGAACUGCAUUCGAGACUGCAUUGCUAGAGUAUGGGAGAGGGAAGCGGAAUUUCCGGUGUAGCGGUGAAAUGCGUAGAUAUCGGAAGGAACACCAGUGGUGAAAGCGGCUUCCUGGUCCAGCAUCGACGUUCAGGCACGAAAGCGUGGGGAGCAAACAGG
Molecule: ribosomal RNA, 253 nt
Filed under: uncultured bacterium
Lineage: Bacteria
Description: partial 16S ribosomal RNA
Rfam family: Bacterial small subunit ribosomal RNA
Source: RNAcentral